RNAcentral lists this ribosomal RNA (682 nucleotides) under uncultured Lachnospiraceae bacterium. RNAcentral describes it as "bacterial SSU rRNA". It matches the Rfam family "Bacterial small subunit ribosomal RNA", at positions 45 to 738 of the family's 1533-position model. The record is from RNAcentral. Lineage: Bacteria; Bacillati; Bacillota; Clostridia; Lachnospirales; Lachnospiraceae.
UGCCUAACACAUGCAAGUCGAACGGACGAGGAGGAGCUUGCUUCUCCAAGUCAGUGGCGGACGGGUGAGUAACGCGUGAGUAACCUGCCCUUCAGAGGGGGAUAACGUCUGGAAACGGACGCUAAUACCGCAUGACAUAUUUCCAUCGCAUGGUGGAGAUAUCAAAGGAGCAAUCCGCUGAAGGAUGGACUCGCGUCCGAUUAGAUAGUUGGCGGGGUAACGGCCCACCAAGUCGACGAUCGGUAGCCGGACUGAGAGGUUGAACGGCCACAUUGGGACUGAGACACGGCCCAGACUCCUACGGGAGGCAGCAGUGGGGGAUAUUGCACAAUGGGCGAAAGCCUGAUGCAGCAACGCCGCGUGAGGGAAGACGGUUUUCGGAUUGUAAACCUCUGUUCUAAGUGACGAACAAAUGACGGUAGCUUAGGAGAAAGCCCCGGCUAACUACGUGCCAGCAGCCGCGGUAAUACGUAGGGGGCAAGCGUUGUCCGGAAUUACUGGGUGUAAAGGGAGCGCAGGCGGAGAAGCAAGUCGGUGGUGAAAACGAUGGGCUUAACUCAUCGACUGCCAUUGAAACUGUUUCCCUUGAGUGAAGUAGAGGCAGGCGGAAUUCCGAGUGUAGCGGUGAAAUGCGUAGAUAUUCGGAGGAACACCAGUGGCGAAGGCGGCCUGCUGGGCUUUA